Zea mays is the source of this 2244-nucleotide RNA transcript. It is a transcript of the gene named monocopper oxidase-like protein SKU5, with no coding region annotated. The record is from RefSeq and is a predicted model, not a curated record. The transcript is spliced from 6 exons. Lineage: Eukaryota; Viridiplantae; Streptophyta; Magnoliopsida; Poales; Poaceae.
UUUGCUUGCCAUUCCACCACCUCUCUCUGCUCCACUGCAGCAGUGCUCCUCCUCCUCCACCACCACGCGGUCCAUCUCACUCUCACAGGCUCCAAUUGGCAUCUCGUCUCGCGCUCGCUUUCCCCAGUCCACUCGCGCUCUCGUUUCCCGGAGCUUCGCGAUGCAGCGCCUUCUCGCGCUGGUGGCAGCCCUGCUGGUGCUGCUGGCGUCGCGUCCAGCGCUGGCCACCGACCCCUACGCCUUCUUCGACUGGGACGUCUCCUACGUCACUGCGGCGCCGCUCGGCGUCAAGCAGCAGGUGAUAGGCAUCAACGGCAAGUUCCCAGGGCCCGUCGUGAACGUCAGCACCAACUGGAACGUCGUCGUCAACGUGCUCAACGACCUCGACGAGCCCCUCCUCAUCACCUGGAACGGGAUCCAGCACCGGAAGAACUGCUGGCAGGACGGGGUGCUCGGCACCAACUGCCCCAUCCCGCCCGGCUGGAACUGGACGUACGAGUUCCAGGUGAAGGACCAGAUCGGCAGCUUCUUCUACUUCCCCUCCACCGGCCUGCAGCGCGCCGCCGGCGGCUUCGGCGGCAUCGUCGUCAACAACCGCGACGUCAUCGCCGUGCCCUUUCGCCCGCCCCGACGGCGACAUCACCAUCUUCAUCGGCGACUGGUACAACAAGAACCACACGGAUCUGAGGAAGAUGCUGGACAAGGGGAAGGACCUCGGUAUUCCCGACGGCGUGCUGAUAAACGGCAAGGGCCCGUACCGGUACAACGACAGCCUCGUGCCGCCCGGCAUCGAGUACGAGACCUUCAAUGUGCAUCCGGGCAGGACGUACCGCAUCCGGGUGCACAACGUGGGGACGUCGACGAGCCUCAACUUCCGGAUCCAGGGGCACAGCAUGGUGCUGGUGGAGACGGAGGGCUCCUACACGUCGCAGCAGAACUACACGAGCCUGGACGUCCACGUGGGCCAGUCCUACUCCUUCCUCGUCGCCACGGAUCAGAACGCCAGCUCCGACUACUACGUGGUCGCCAGCGCGCGGCAGGUGAACGGCUCCCAGCCCCUCUGGCGCCGCGUCACGGGCGUCGCCGUGCUCCGCUACUCCACCUCCGGGGGCCCCGCGUCGGGCGCCCUACCCGACCCGCCGCAGGACCAGGACGACAGGGCCUUCUCCCAUGAACCAGGCGCGGUCGGUCCGCUGGAACCUGAGCGCCGGCGCGGCGCGGCCCAACCCGCAGGGCUCGUUCCGCUACUCGGCCAUCAGCGUGACGCAGGCGUACCUGCUGCGGGGCGCGGGGCCCGUGUGGAUCGGCGGCAGGCGGCGCGCGGCGCUGAACGGGCUGUCGUACGCGCCGCCCGAGACGCCGCUGCGGCUGGCGGACGCGUACGGGGUGGAGGGCGUGUACACGCUCGACUUCCCCGAGCGCCCGCCGCUCCGGGGCGCCGCCCCCAGGAUCGCGCGGUCCGUCAUCAACGGCACCUAACCGCGGGUUCAUGGAGCUCAUCUUCCAGAACAACGACACCAGGAUGCAGAGCUACCAUAUGGACGGCUACGCCUUCUUCGUCGUCGGGAUGGACUACGGCGAGUGGACGGAGGACAGCAGGGGCACGUACAACAAGGGGGAGCGGCGUGGCGCGCAGCACGAUACAGGUGUACCCGGGCGCGUGGGCGGCGGUGCUGGUGUCCCUGGACAACGUCGGCGUCUGGAACGUGCGGUCCCAGAACCUAGACUCGUGGUACCUGGGGCAGGAGGUCUACGUCAGGGUCGUCAACCCUGAGGACACCGGCAACAAGACCGAGAUGGCCAUCCCCGCCAACGCUCUCUACUGCGGCCAGCUCCACAAGUACCAGAAGGAGCAGACUCCGCACCACAAGAUGGGGGCGUCUGCUGCGGCGCCACGCUCGUCGGGUGUCCCUAGCGCGCCGGCUGCUCGCGACGGCGCUGCUCCUCGCCGGAUCCUUCGUGUUCGCGCCGUAGAGUGAGUGGCAACCGUUACUUCUGCAACCGAGGCGGCACCCGUUUAUGUAGGUUUGAUUAGGAUUAGGCGUAGGCCGCGUCAUUACCUAUGAGAAUUGUUCAUAUGCCAGCAGUGCUGGCCUCCGCCUGGUUUCCUAUGGUACAGUUCUCCCUCGCUUUCAUUGUGUGUGUGUGUGCGUGUGUUAGUUAGCCUCUGUUAGGAAGGGUCGAUGGUUUCUCUCUGAUUAGUUCAUUCCUUUUGAUGGUGAUUCCGAUCUUAGCGUUUUUGUA